Molecule: ribosomal RNA, 848 nt
Filed under: Phytopythium helicoides
Lineage: Eukaryota; Oomycota; Peronosporomycetes; Pythiales; Pythiaceae
Description: eukaryotic LSU rRNA
Rfam family: 5.8S ribosomal RNA (bases 209-363)
Source: RNAcentral
CCGUAGGUGAACCUGCGGAAGGAUCAUUACCACACCUAAAAACAUCUUUCCACGUGAACCGUUUGUGACAUGGUUGGGCUUGUGCGUUUUCUCUCUCUCUUUUGGGGGAGGGGAUGCGUGCGAGCUAUCUGUAAACUUGUCAAACCCAUUCUUUUUGAUAACUGAAACAUACUGUGGGGACGAAAGUCUCUGCUUUGAACUAGAUAGCAACUUUCAGCAGUGGAUGUCUAGGCUCGCACAUCGAUGAAGAACGCUGCGAACUGCGAUACGUAAUGCGAAUUGCAGGAUUCAGUGAGUCAUCGAAAUUUUGAACGCAUAUUGCACUUUCGGGUUAUGCCUGGAAGUAUGUCUGUAUCAGUGUCCGUACACUAAACUUGCCUCCUUUGCGUCGUGUAGUCGUCGCGUUGGAACUUUGUGGCAGAUGUGAGGUGUCUUGUUUGCUGUGUCUUUGUUGAUGCGGCGGUCAAGUCCCUUGAAAGUCGGACGCGUAUCUUUGCGUGCGUUGGGUGCCGGUGGGCUGUGGGACGCGUCUGUUGACGAGUCUGGCGACCUUUGGCGCGUGCAUGCUUGGGCACUGUGUAUUGGCGGUAUGUUAGGCUGCGUUCGCGCGGCUUUGACAAUGCAGCUGAUGCGUGUGUUUGGGGUGUGGUGCUGUAUGGGUGAACCGGAUGGUCGAUGGGUUUUUUAAAUGCGUUUCGCGUGUCUGUUUUUAUCCGGUGUUCUGUUUCGUGCGUGGAGUGUGUCAUCAUUUGGGAAUUUGUACGUCUGUUUUUUAUGGGCGUAUCUCAUUUGGACCUGAUAUCAGACAAGAUUACCCGCUGAACUUAAGCAUAUCAAUAAGCGGAGGA